AACGAACGCUGGCGGCAGGCUUAACACAUGCAAGUCGAGCGCCCCGCAAGGGGAGCGGCAGACGGGUGAGUAACGCGUGGGAACGUGCCCUUUGGUUCGGAACAACUCCGGGAAACUAGAGCUAAUACCGGAUAAGCCCUUCGGGGGACAGAUUUAUCGCCAAAGGAUCGGCCCGCGUCUGAUUAGCUAGUUGGUGAGGUAAUGGCUCACCAAGGCGACGAUCAGUAGCUGGUCUGAGAGGAUGAUCAGCCACACUGGGACUGAGACACGGCCCAGACUCCUACGGGAGGCAGCAGUGGGGAAUAUUGGACAAUGGGCGCAAGCCUGAUCCAGCCAUGCCGCGUGAGUGAUGAAGGCCUUAGGGUUGUAAAGCUCUUUUGUCCGGGAAGAUAAUGACUGUACCGGAAGAAUAAGCCCCGGCUAACUUCGUGCCAGCCGCCGCGGUAA
This 447-nucleotide ribosomal RNA is filed under the name uncultured bacterium. RNAcentral describes it as "partial 16S ribosomal RNA". It matches the Rfam family "Bacterial small subunit ribosomal RNA", at positions 29 to 523 of the family's 1533-position model. The record is from RNAcentral.